GCCUGCGCGGAGCUCGUGGCCGCGCCUGCUCCCGCCGGGGGCUCCUUGCUCGGCCGGGCCGCGGCCAUGGGAGAGGCCGAGGUGGGCGGCGGGGGCGCCGCAGGCGACAAGGGCCCAGGGGAGGCGGCCACCAGCCCGGCGGAGGAGACAGUGGUGUGGAGCCCCGAGGUGGAGGUGUGCCUCUUCCACGCCAUGCUGGGCCACAAGCCCGUCGGUGUGAACCGACACUUCCACAUGAUUUGUAUCCGGGACAAGUUCAGCCAGAACAUCGGGCGGCAGGUCCCAUCCAAGGUCAUCUGGGACCACCUGAGCACCAUGUACGACAUGCAGGCACUGCAUGAGUCUGAGAUUCUUCCAUUCCCGAAUCCAGAGAGGAACUUCGUCCUUCCAGAAGAGAUCAUUCAGGAGGUCCGAGAAGGUGAGACUCGGGAGAGGUUGGGCUUGGGAAUCAGAAAAGGCCAGACCCUGGCCAAGGGCGGGGAGGUGAGGGUGAGGACCCCGGGCCUCCAGGGAGGUGUGAGGGUCCAGCGCAGACCCCGCCCCACCUGUGCUUGGGUGGUCUUGGAACCUCCGGGAUUGGAGAGGACUUUGUUUGAGAGCAGUGGCUGGACGGAAGCUGAGGCCCGUGUGGGCAGCAAGCGUCGGAGCAGUCCCUGGCCUGACCAUCCCCCAGCGUCGGCCACCACCGUGGGUUUUCGGUGAGCGUCAGCUGUCUCCUCCACAGGAAAAGUGAUGAUAGAAGAGGAGAUGAAAGAGGAGAUGAAGGAAGACGUGGACCCCCACAAUGGGGCUGACGAUGUUUUUUCAUCUUCAGGGAGUUUGGGGAAAGCAACAGAAAAAUCCAGCAAAGACAAAGAGAAGAACUCCUCAGACUUGGGGUGCAAAGAAGGCGCAGACAAGCGGAAGCGCAGCCGGGUCACCGACAAAGUCCUGACCGCGAACAGCAACCCCUCCAGUCCCAGCGCUGCCAAGCGGCGCCGCACAUAGACCCCUCAGUCCUGGCGGCAGCAGAGAAGCGGGUGAAGAGCUGUGGUCACUGACGGGGUCGGCUGGGUCUGAGUGCCACCGCCCAGGCCACAGUGGUAUCACCCCAGUGCCGGGAGCCCACACUGCCCACCCUCAGGCUCUCAGGUGAACGUGGCCGUCAGCGGGGAAACGUGUGUCAGCUGGACCAUGUGGGACCCUGAUGGACCUGAAAGACCAGGAUCAAUCCAGCUCAGAUGUUGAGGGCUCUGAAGCCUCGUUCUGUCUUCUCUGGAGCAGCUGUGGCUUCCCCAGGGCUGCUUGGUGACAUGGAUUAGCUCUACAUGGGCUGCAGCGUUUGGGAUCCAGGCUACCUAUAGGGGCAUCAGGCCAGGGGAAAACCUCGGAUUAGCAAGCAAUAAAAACAUGACCUCACUCUUCCUCAAAGGAGCCACUGGUCUUCCCUGCGUGACUCAGUUCUUUCCAUCUGUUUGUCCCGCUGCAAGCCUGUUUCUGCACUGACUGUGACAUCAGAACAUGGCCUUCCUGUCACCCCUCCGUGCCACGCACUGACAGCCCCCCCUCCACCUGGGAAACUAAGAACUGGAUAUUUUGCCUCAUUCACUUGUACUGUAACAAUGUAUAUAAUUUGGUUGGUAUUUCACUAUUUAAUUUUUAAGAAGCCUAUUUUACUAGUGUUUUAUAUGAACAAAGUACUGCAGAAGUUAAACCUGUGUUGUAUUUUUUCUGAGAUGUUUUGCUUUAAGAGAUACUUUUUGCUCAGUUUUUAUAUGCCAGAUACAGAGAAUUUGUAGCGGUUAUUUUUGUAUGAUCUAGUAACUUGCAAACAGACCAAAUGGGUGAGAGGCGGGACCGUGCAGCUGUCGGGCUGAUGAGGAGGAGGUGGCCGCCCCAGUGCUGAUGGAGAUACCACUUUUGUGUGACUGCGAACAUUAAAGCACAAAAAAAUCCAA
Non-coding RNA from Macaca mulatta (Rhesus monkey), 1937 nucleotides. NCBI's taxonomy places the organism in Eukaryota, Metazoa, Chordata, Mammalia, Primates, Cercopithecidae. The record is from RefSeq and is a predicted model, not a curated record.